RNAcentral lists this ribosomal RNA (473 nucleotides) under uncultured bacterium. RNAcentral's name for it is "bacterial SSU rRNA". It matches the Rfam family "Bacterial small subunit ribosomal RNA", at positions 326 to 793 of the family's 1533-position model. The record is from RNAcentral.
ACGAUAUCACUCCUACGGGAGGCAGCAGUGGGGAAUAUUGCACAAUGGGGGAAACCCUGAUGCAGCCAUGCCGCGUGUGUGAAGAAGGCCUUAGGGUUGUAAAGCACUUUCAGUUGUGAGGAAAGGUUAGUCGCUAAUAUGGCUAGCUGUGACGUUAGCAACAGAAGAAGCACCGGCUAACUCCGUGCCAGCAGCCGCGGUAAUACGGAGGGUGCGAGCGUUAAUCGGAAUUACUGGGCGUAAAGCGCGUGUAGGUGGCUUGUUAAGCCAGAUGUGAAAGCCCCGGGCUCAACCUGGGAACUGCAUUUGGAACUGGCAGGCUAGAGUUUUGUAGAGGGUGGUAGAAUUUCAGGUGUAGCGGUGAAAUGCGUAGAGAUCUGAAGGAAUACCGGUGGCGAAGGCGGCCCCCUGGACAAAGACUGACGCUCAGGCACGAAAGCGUGGGGAGCAAACAGGAUUAGAUACCCUGGUAG